This 301-nucleotide ribosomal RNA is filed under the name uncultured bacterium. Its description in RNAcentral is "partial 16S ribosomal RNA". It matches the Rfam family "Bacterial small subunit ribosomal RNA", at positions 509 to 807 of the family's 1533-position model. The record is from RNAcentral.
CAGUAGCCGCGGUAAUACGUAGGGUGCAAGCGUUAAUCGGAAUUACCGGGCGUAAAGCGUGCGCAGGCGGUUUGUUAAGACAGAUGUGAAAUCCCCGGGCUCAACCUGGGAACUGCAUUUGUGACUGGCAAGCUAGAGUCUGGCAGAGGGGGGUGGAAUUCCGCGUGUAGCAGUGAAAUGCGUAGAUAUGCGGAGGAACACCGAUGGCGAAGGCAGCCCCCUGGGCCAACACUGACGCUCAUGCACGAAAGCGUGGGGAGCAAACAGGAUUAGAGACCCCAGUAGUCCCUGUCUCUUAUAC